GUAAGUUAAUAAGGGCGUACAGUGAAUGCCUUGGCAUUAGAAGUCGAAGAAGGACGCGAUAACCUGCGAUAAGCUUGGGGAAGCUGGACAUAAGCAUUGAUCCCAAGAUUUCCGAAUGGGGCAACCCGGCAUGAGUCAUAUCAUGUCAUCCAUAACUGAAUACAUAGGUUAUGAGAAGUGAUACCUAGGGAAUUGAAACAUCUUAGUACCUAGAGGAAAAGAAAGAGAAUCGAUUCCGUCAGUAGCGGCGAGCGAAAGCGGAGGAGCCCAAACCACCCUAGAGGUGGGGUUAGGACCACAACAUGGAUGCAUUUAUUCGAGGAGAAUGGCAUGGGAAAGCCAACCAAAGAGGGUGAUAGUCCCGUAUCUAUAGGAGUAAAUGACCUAGUGGAAUCCAGAGUACGGCGAGGCACGUGAAACCUUGUCGGAAUGAGUGCAGACCAUUGCAUAAGGCUAAAUACUAGCUAAUGACCGAUAGUGAACCAGUACCGUGAGGGAAAGGUGAAAAGAACCCCGGGAGGGGAGUGAAAAGAAUCUGAAACUGUAUGCCUACAAGAAGUCAGAGGACGUUAAAGUCUGAUGACGUGCCUAUUGAAGAAUGAGCCGGCGAGUUAUGUUAUCGUGCAAGGUUAAGCAGAAGAUGCGGAGCCGUAGCGAAAGCGAGUCUGAACAGGGCUGCAGUACGAUGACAUAGACCCGAAACGGGAUGAUCUAGCCAUGAGCAGGUUGAAAGUGGAGUACAAUCCACCGGAGGACCGAACCGACGUUCGUUGAAACGCCCGCGGAUGACUUGUGGCUAGGGGUGAAAUUCCAAUCGAAUUCCGUUAUAGCUGGUUCUCCCCGAAAUAGUUUUAGGACUAGCGUCUGUAUAAAGAUGUGUGGAGGUAGAGCACUGAAUGCCGGAUGGCCGAGUUUAUCGGUACUGACUGCAAUCAAACUCCGAAUGCCAUACAUUAUGACAGGCAGUCAGAGUGUGGGAGAUAAGUUCCAUGCUCAAAAGGGAAACAGCCCAGACCGUCAAAUAAGGUCCCUAAGUUUAUGCUAAGUGUCAAAGGAUGUGGGAACGCUUAAACAACUAGGAUGUUAGCUCAGAAGCAGCUACCAUUUAAAGAGUGCGUAACAGCUCACUAGUCGAGUAUUCCUGCGCCGAAAAUUUACCGGGGCUCAAGCAUAACACCGAAUUUACGGAUUGAAAACAAUUUCAGUGGUAGGGGAGCGUUCCAUUUGCGGCGAAGCGAUACCGUAAGGAGUCGUGGAGCGGAUGGAAGUGAGUAUGCCGGCGUGAGUAACGUAACUGGGUGAGAAUCCCAGUCGCCGUUUGACUAAGGUUUCCUGGGCAAGGUUCGUCCACCCAGGGUUAGUCGGGAGCUAAGACGAGGCCGAAAGGCGUAGCCGAUGAACAACAGGUUGAUAUUCCUGUACCCGUACAUAUGCGAUGUAGUGACAGAUGGAGCUAAUCAAUCCUCCUAAUGGAUGGAGGUCCAAGCACAAUACGUGUAUCCCAGGCAAAUCCGGGGUGCAAAAGCGGAAGGUGUGAUGGGGAUGAAAGCCUUCGGGCGAGUAGGAAGUUGAUGAUGCGCUGUCUCGAGAAAAGCUGCUAGCUUAAGUAUGUGCGGCCCGUACCGAGAACGAACACACGUGGUCAAGGAGAGUAUCCUAAGGCGAGCGAGAUAACUAUUGUUAAGGAACUCUGCAAAAUUACUUCGUAAGUUAGCAAGAAGAAGUGCUGCAGCAAUGCAGUCGCAGUGAAGAGGCCCAGGUAACUGUUUAACAAAAACACAGCUCUAUGCUAAGUCGCAAGACGAUGUAUAUGGGGUGAUGCCUGCCCAGUGCUGGAAGAUUAAAAGGAGGGGUUAGCAGCAAUGCGAAGCUCUGAUCUGAAGUCCCAGUGAACGGCGGCCGUAACUAUAACGGUCCUAAGGUAGCGAAAUUCCUUGUCAGGUAAGUUCUGACGCGCACGAAUGGUAUAAUAAUCUGGGCGCUGUCUCGACAGUAGACUCGGUGAAAUCUUAUUACCUGUGAAGAUGCAGGUUACCCGCGACUAGACGGAAAGACCCCAUGGAGCUUUACUAUAGCUUAAUAUUGAAUAUUUGUAAGUCAUGCACAGGAUAGGUGGGAGGCUUUGAAGUAGGGACUUUGGUUUCUAUGGAGCCGUCGGUUGGAUACCACUCUUGGUUUAUGAAUAUUCUAACCUUGACCCUACACGGGGUUAGGGACAGUGUUAGGUGGGUAGUUUGACUGGGGCGGUCGCCUCCCAAAAAGUAACGGAGGCGCCCCAAGGUACCCUCAGCACGGUUGGAAAUCGUGCAUCGAGUGCAAAGGCAUAAGGGUGCUUGACUGCGAGACAGACAAGUCGAGCAGGGACGAAAGUCGGGCUUAGUGAUCCGGCGGUCCCGUAUGGAAGGGCCGUCGCUCAACGGAUAAAAGCUACCCUGGGGAUAACAGGCUGAUCGCGUCCAAGAGUUCACAUCGACGACGCGGUUUGGCACCUCGAUGUCGGCUCAUCGCAUCCUGGAGGGGUAGUCCCUUCCAAGGGUAUGGCUGUUCGCCAUUUAAAGCGGUACGCGAGCUGGGUUCAAAACGUCGUGAGACAGUUUGGUCCCUAUCUGUCGUGGGCGUAGGAAGUUUGACAGGAUCUGUCCUUAGUACGAGAGGACCGGGAUGGACAUAGCAAUGGUACACCAGUUGUUUCGCCAGAAGCAUAGCUGGGUAGCUACCUAUGGAAUAGAUAAACGCUGAAAGCAUCUAAGCGUGAAACUAGCCUGAAGAUGAGACUUCCCAUCGCAAGAGUAAGAACCCUCUAAAGUUAAGAGGUUGAUAGGACAUAGAUGUAAGUGCAGUGAUGCAUUGAGUCGAGUGUUACUAAUAGUUCGAGGACUUAAGAUA
RNAcentral lists this ribosomal RNA (2886 nucleotides) under gut metagenome. RNAcentral describes it as "bacterial LSU rRNA". It matches the Rfam family "Bacterial large subunit ribosomal RNA". The record is from RNAcentral.